Molecule: ribosomal RNA, 560 nt
Filed under: Candida tropicalis
Lineage: Eukaryota; Fungi; Ascomycota; Pichiomycetes; Serinales; Debaryomycetaceae
Description: eukaryotic LSU rRNA
Rfam family: Eukaryotic large subunit ribosomal RNA
Source: RNAcentral
GGUAUUGCCUUAGUAGCGGCGAGUGAAGCGGCAAAAGCUCAAAUUUGAAAUCUGGCUCUUUCAGAGUCCGAGUUGUAAUUUGAAGAAGGUAUCUUUGGGUCUGGCUCUUGUCUAUGUUUCUUGGAACAGAACGUCACAGAGGGUGAGAAUCCCGUGCGAUGAGAUGAUCCAGGCCUAUGUAAAGUUCCUUCGAAGAGUCGAGUUGUUUGGGAAUGCAGCUCUAAGUGGGUGGUAAAUUCCAUCUAAAGCUAAAUAUUGGCGAGAGACCGAUAGCGAACAAGUACAGUGAUGGAAAGAUGAAAAGAACUUUGAAAAGAGAGUGAAAAAGUACGUGAAAUUGUUGAAAGGGAAGGGCUUGAGAUCAGACUUGGUAUUUUGUAUGUUACUUCUUCGGGGGUGGCCUCUACAGUUUAUCGGGCCAGCAUCAGUUUGGGCGGUAGGAGAAUUGCGUUGGAAUGUGGCACGGCCUCGGUUGUGUGUUAUAGCCUUCGUCGAUACUUGCCAGCCUAGACUGAGGACUGCGGUUUAUACCUAGGAUGUUGGCAUAAUGAUCUUAAGUC